GGUCUGACCUGCCCUAUGAUAUAAUUUUAUUAAAUGGCCGCGAUAAUUUGAUCGUGCAAAGGUAGCAUAAUCAUUAGUUUUUUAAUUGGGAACUGGAAUGAAAGGUCGAACGAGAAAAAGACUGUCUCAAUUUAAAUUUAAUUAGAAUUUUAUUUUUAAGUUAAAAAGCUUAAAUAAUUUUAAAAGACGAGAAGACCCUAUAGAGUUUUAUAUUUAAUAUUUUUAGAAAAAAUUUAAGAAUUAUUUUUUUUUUGUUUGUAUUAAGUAUUUGGUUGGGGGGAUUAAAAAAUUGAAUAAACUUUUUUUAUUUUAAACCAUUGAUUUAUGAAUAAGUGAUCCAUUUAUUAUGAUUAAAAGAUUAAAUUACCUUAGGGAUAACAGCGUUAUUUUUUUUAAGAGUUCUUAUCGAAAAAAAAGUUUGCGACCUCGAUUUGGAUUAAAACUAUC
This 447-nucleotide ribosomal RNA is filed under the name Onthophagus bronzeus. RNAcentral describes it as "partial large subunit ribosomal RNA". It matches the Rfam family "Bacterial large subunit ribosomal RNA", at positions 1851 to 2546 of the family's 2925-position model. Lineage: Eukaryota; Metazoa; Arthropoda; Insecta; Coleoptera; Scarabaeidae. The record is from RNAcentral.